Molecule: long non-coding RNA, 356 nt
Filed under: Vulpes vulpes (red fox)
Lineage: Eukaryota; Metazoa; Chordata; Mammalia; Carnivora; Canidae
Description: lncRNA (ENSVVUG00000022576.1)
Source: RNAcentral
ACUGAAUGGAGGAUAAAAGAAAAUUCUACUCAUAAUACACUAAUCUUUCAGAUUUGUGCUUAAAGGAGCAUCCAUUCACUAAGGAAUCUUCAUGUCAUCUAUGAAGACUACUGAGCAAAGAGGCACUGUUAAUAUUCUGGUGAAUUCUGUUCCUUUGGUUGAUCCUUGUCAUCUGACUCCAGUGCCAACUUCUCAUGCUAAAGGAGGUGAGAGAUGUUUCCUGAAAACAAAUCGAAGUGGCAUUGCUGGUUCAAAAUGUAUGGACCCUUUCAAAAUAUUGCCUGUUGCAUCUAGAACUGUUUGACUCAACAGACUUCAGGGACAUAUGAUCGUUUGCACUUUGGAACAACCUCACU